AGGGAAGCGACGUCUCUUCGGCAGGGGCGGGAAGGAGAACUUCGUAGGGCGCCCGUCUCAGGCCUCCCACAGGUCGGAUCCACAGGUCGCCAGGAUGACAGGAGAUUCCUUUGAGAGGGAGUCGAUCGACCUGGAGGAAGACUCCGAAUUCCUCUAAAGACUCGAGGGGCGAAAGUGGUCGAGAGUCCGCACCGCAUGGCGAAAAAGGUCGAGCAAUGGGACCACGACGAGAGAGAAAAGUCACUCGUCGAGGGAGCGAGGCGCGCGCGUACUCACGGCGAAAGUGGUCGAGA
This 293-nucleotide long non-coding RNA is filed under the name Penaeus japonicus. Its description in RNAcentral is "uncharacterized LOC122244786". The record is from RNAcentral. Lineage: Eukaryota; Metazoa; Arthropoda; Malacostraca; Decapoda; Penaeidae.